UCAGGAUGAACGCUAGCUACAGGCUUAACACAUGCAAGUCGAGGGGCAGCAUAUUGGUAGCUUGCUACUAAUGAUGGCGACCGGCGCACGGGUGAGUAACGCGCAUCCAACCUUCCCUAUACUAGAGGAUAGCCCGGCGAAAGUCGGAUUAAUACUCUAUGUUAUUCAAUGCGGACAUCUAAGUUGAAUCAAAGAUUUAUCGGUAUAGGAUGGGGAUGCGUCUGAUUAGGUUGUUGGCGGGGUAACGGCCCACCAAGCCCACGAUCAGUAGGGGUUCUGAGAGGAAGGCCCCCCACAUUGGAACUGAGACACGGUCCAAACUCCUACGGGAGGCAGCAGUGAGGAAUAUUGGUCAAUGGACGAGAGUCUGAACCAGCCAAGUAGCCGUGCAGGAUGACGGCCUUAUGGGUUGUAAACUGCUUUUAUACAGGGAUAAAGUGAGCCACGUGUGGUUUUUUGUAGGUACUGUAUGAAUAAGGACCGGCUAAUUCCGUGCCAGCCGCCGC
RNAcentral lists this ribosomal RNA (506 nucleotides) under uncultured bacterium. RNAcentral's name for it is "bacterial SSU rRNA". It matches the Rfam family "Bacterial small subunit ribosomal RNA", at positions 24 to 518 of the family's 1533-position model. The record is from RNAcentral.